CAGUCUUCUUCAGUGUCAGUUACUCGUAUCCACUGGAUACCAGUGGAUACGAGUAACUGACACUGAAGAAGACUGC
This 76-nucleotide microRNA precursor is filed under the name Aedes aegypti (yellow fever mosquito). Its description in RNAcentral is "pre miRNA AAEL028962". Lineage: Eukaryota; Metazoa; Arthropoda; Insecta; Diptera; Culicidae. The record is from RNAcentral.